GUGAUUGAUGAGCUUUUGGAUGAGUUAGCUGGUUCUUCAUGGUUUUCAAAAUUGGAUUUAAGAUUAGGUUAUCAUCAGAUAAGGCUUGCCCCUGGAGAGGAGUAUAAGACUGCAUUUCAAACUCAUAAUGGGCAUUUUGAGUUUUUGGUUAUGUCACAAGGGCUGACUGGGGGACCUAACACUUCUCAGUUUGCUAUGAAUAGUGAUUUGUCCCCUGUGUUAAGGAAAUGUGCAGUGGUCUUCUUUGAUGAUAUUCUAGUUUUUAGUGCUACUUAUGCACUUCAUUUGCAACAUUUGGCAGAAGUACUUCAGUUGUUACUUAAGCAUCAAUGGCAAGUCAGAUUAUCCAAGUGUGCUUUUGCUCAG
This 366-nucleotide ribosomal RNA is filed under the name Triticum aestivum (bread wheat). RNAcentral's name for it is "partial small subunit ribosomal RNA". The record is from RNAcentral. Lineage: Eukaryota; Viridiplantae; Streptophyta; Magnoliopsida; Poales; Poaceae.